UUUCUUUUUCUUCUUCUCUCUAUACGUUGGUGUUCUAACCAAUAAUCACCAAUACGAUAUUCUGUCCGAUCGAUCCGGGAACCAACUAACGAAUGCCAAAGUGUUGUCUAAUAAGACUAUAGUUUGUGAAUUUCGUUAAGGUUCUGAUCUCGUGACCAUCGUUAGGUUUGAUUUGGUUUAACACUAAUACGUAUUCCACUCUGUCAAACUAAAUGUUUAACUACCAGAAAACUCUGCACUACACACUUACAAUCAAAAUAGAUGCUUAGUUAUCAGAAGACUUAGAAUCAGGAGGCCUGUUAAAUCAAGACUAUAUGCUAACAAGGUGAUUACAGUAGAUCGGAAUAAGAGUUGUGAUACGGCACCGAAAGGCUUAAAGAAGUGGCUUAUUUUAUCAAAUGAAUUAAAUUAAAUUA
Molecule: long non-coding RNA, 416 nt
Filed under: Helianthus annuus (common sunflower)
Lineage: Eukaryota; Viridiplantae; Streptophyta; Magnoliopsida; Asterales; Asteraceae
Description: sRNA HanXRQr2_Chr08g0335031
Source: RNAcentral